RNAcentral lists this long non-coding RNA (711 nucleotides) under Serinus canaria (Common canary). Its description in RNAcentral is "lncRNA (ENSSCAG00000012428.1)". The record is from RNAcentral. Lineage: Eukaryota; Metazoa; Chordata; Aves; Passeriformes; Fringillidae.
GAAAGGGCUUACACAACAGCCUAAGAACUAUGAAAUCCAGACUGGACCUUAAAACCACUGGUCGAUCUUGCCAGACUUCCACAGAGGUGAGAAAACUUAAAAUGCUGCAAAAAGACAGAACCAAUUAUCUAUCAAGCACUUGCAUAAUCCUAAAAUAUACCUCUCUACUGUGAAAAUGGGCAAAUUGAAUCUGGAGCAAACCUGUGGUCCCCUGUCAGAUCCCUGAUCUUCCUGAUGCCACAAUUUGGAGGGACACCUGCACCACUCACCUGCUGACACUUGCAUAAUCCCUUGGCUCUACAGCACCUUCAAGCCUUCAUGACAGUCACGUUUUUCUGUGGUUCUUUUCGGUGGCCUUGAAAUGAGUCACAGCAUGUACAUCCUGGUGUCAGGGGGAUUGUGUGUGCUGCCCUCUAUUUGUGUGUAUAUUCUCAUGAAUGAAAGGAAAGUUUGUUCUGUAGAAGUGAUUUGACCUGAAUAGGAAAGCACAAAGUUUCUACCUAUAUGUUAUUUAUUUUUCCUGCUGUUUCUGUACUCAAGUUUUGUCCUAAACUUUUAACUGGAAUUUCUAGCAUGAAAAGUGACUUCUUAUAUUCCUGUAGUUCUUCCAGUCCAUCUUGCAUGCUGACAAGUGAGGCAUGACACCCAUAUAUCCUAAGCAAUUAGUGUAGCACUUCCAAUAAAAGCCUUCCAAAAAUUGGAUGAUGAUCA